AGACUCCUUCCAGAAAUGUAACAUGAUUUACAGAGAACAUUUCAUCACCGCUACGGGGUUUCAAAGCCGUUUACAGGGAGUGGAUGAAGCCACGUGAGACAGUUGUUACUAUAGAAACGAUAUGGUGUAAGUAUGAAAAAUUGAUUCUGCUCAAAACUAUUUCUUUAUUUACAGGGUAUCAGAUCAUGGGGGCUUCCGCGUAUCAGGAGAGUUGAGUUUAGGGGCUCCUUCCAUUUUGAAAUUUUGCCUUCACUUAAACUAGUGUGGAGUGGAAGAUCUCCCGCAAUAGAGCUCUGAACCCUCAACCGUACUGAAAUGAAGAAUGUGAACGCUGACUGCACCCCAGACCUCCUCACAUUCUCACAUCUAUCAGUACCUGACUUUACUAACACCAUUGUAGCUAAAUGAGCAGAAAUCUCCACAAAAUCUAGAGGAACAUCUUCCCAGAAGGGUGGAGCUCAUAAUAACAGCAAAUGGAGACUCAAUGUGGAUGUUCAAAAAUUGUCACCUCAGAAGAGCAGGUUGUGAUGUAAUAUAUCAAAGAUGUGUAGUUAUUAUCUUAUCAUACAUCAUCGCCCAGCCCAAGGAAAAAAAAUCCUGAUAUCAAGACAUUUCCCACACGACCAUCCCUUCCAGAGCAUCAGAACAUGGGUUUCAGCCAAUCAGGAGAAAGCAAGCCAGGAGUUUAGCUCAUCCUACUCUUGCUGAUGAUGUCAUAGGUCACAAGGAGGUGGCUAGAUGAUUGGAUUAGUGUGAUUGGAUAUUUAUGGGUGUGGCUCUCUGGGCGUUGUAUACUACAUACUACAAGGCUGCACCAUGAAGAAUCCUAAAAACAGCACGUGGAUUGAGAACAUCUCAGGUCUUCUAAUAGCAGGACACACCCUUUAAUUCCAGUCUCAACCACUAGAGGGUAGAAAAGAGCCCGUCUGAAAAGGGAAAGCUGCUGAAGAAAUGACUGGCUUUUAUUAUUUUAAUACAAAAUGUAAGAGUUUCGGCUCCAAAACAUC
Long non-coding RNA from Silurus meridionalis, 1007 nucleotides. RefSeq lists it as uncharacterized. The record is from RefSeq and is a predicted model, not a curated record. NCBI's taxonomy places the organism in Eukaryota, Metazoa, Chordata, Actinopteri, Siluriformes, Siluridae. The transcript is spliced from 2 exons.